CAGCCGCCACGGGAAUACAGAGGGUGCGAGCGUUAAUCGGAUUUACUGGGCGUAAAGCGUGCGUAGGCGGCUUCUUAAGUCGGAUGUGAAAUCCCUGAGCUUAACUUAGGAAUUGCAUUCGAUACUGGGAAGCUAGAGUAUGGGAGAGGAUGGUAGAAUUCCAGGUGUAGCGGUGAAAUGCGUAGAGAUCUGGAGGAAUACCGAUGGCGAAGGCAGCCAUCUGGCCUAAUACUGACGCUGAGGUACGAAAGCAUGGGGAGCAAACAGGAUUAGAUACCCCUGUAGUCACUGUCUCUUAUAC
This 301-nucleotide ribosomal RNA is filed under the name uncultured bacterium. RNAcentral's name for it is "partial 16S ribosomal RNA". It matches the Rfam family "Bacterial small subunit ribosomal RNA", at positions 509 to 807 of the family's 1533-position model. The record is from RNAcentral.